Sphaerodactylus townsendi is the source of this 1014-nucleotide non-coding RNA. The record is from the annotation of a RefSeq genome assembly. NCBI's taxonomy places the organism in Eukaryota, Metazoa, Chordata, Lepidosauria, Squamata, Sphaerodactylidae.
CUGAUGAAGAAACUUCUCAAAUCUCACUAGAGAAGAUUUCUUAGCAAGAAUGUGGCCGGUCCCUGCCUUGCUUUGGUUCGCAGUGAGCAUUUCAUGUGACUCUUCACCGUCUAUCACUCAGAGGCCGCAGUCAGUAGCAAAACAGCUGGGCAGUAGUGUUUCUCUGGAUUGCAGUUUGGAAGGAUCUAGCGACCCUUAUUUCUACUGGUAUCGACAAAUGCCUGGGGGAUCAAUGGAGGUGCUUUUCUACUCUGUAAGCAAGGGCAACAUAGAAGAGGCAGGACCAAAGCACAUCCAAGCAUCAAGACCUGAGAACAACCAGUUCCUACUGAGCAUCUCCAGCCUAAUGACCAACGACACUGGGAUGUAUUUCUGUGCCUGGAGUCGCACACUAUGCCAGGCAAAUGCAGCUCCUUGACAAAAACCCCUCCUCCCUUUCCUGCUUGUGGCGGCAGGAGUGAAGCAGAGGGUAUGGGUCUCCUUUGAAGUGCCAGACUCCCAGCGCAGAAAAAAGACGAAGAGAAAAGUUGUUGCAGCUCAAUAUGGGAACCCAUGAUCUUGCCUUCUGCACAUGGCCUGCCAAGGGCCAUGUUGUUUACUGCCAGGGUUGCAGGAGUUUCAUACCACCUACUGCUUGAUCUUUUAAAGCUGGGCACAGCAGGGAUGGAAGCUGGGACCUUCUGCAUUCAAAGCAGAGACUCUGCCACUGAGCCCAGGACCCCAGUCUUCCUGUGACUUCUCCAUUAGAUUAAGUCUUUGACCUCUUUGAUGUGUCAGCGGCCAAGUAGUUGAGAAGCAAAGUGGCAUCUUCUCCAUGCUAAACCUGUUCAGUUUCUUCAACAUUUCCUGAUAGGUAUUGCCUACUCUGACUGACUGUUGUUUUCCAGGGUCUCCAGUAUAGAUCUUUCCUGCUGUGUGUGUCCUAAGUGCUGUCAAGUCACUUCUGUCUCAUGGUGACCCUAUGAAUCAGUGUCCUCCAAAAGGUCAUCUCGUUAACAACCUUGCCCGGAUCUU